Molecule: long non-coding RNA, 708 nt
Filed under: Capra hircus (goat)
Lineage: Eukaryota; Metazoa; Chordata; Mammalia; Artiodactyla; Bovidae
Description: lncRNA (ENSCHIG00000007886.1)
Source: RNAcentral
AGUAGAUCAGAAUAUUGAUAAUUCCAAUCAAACUGGUAAAGCCCAAGGGACAGCUAUAGUUGUUUUGAGAUUUAAAUAGGUUAGCUCCAAUUUUAUAUAGUUAACUGAAGUGAAUGAAACUAUACUGCUUUCUUAAAAGUUAAAAAGAAAAGGUUUUAAAAAGCAGGAUGUUUAACACAUAUAAAAUCCUAUUAAAUGCAUGAUAAUAAAUCAUAUUUGUUGAUGGUCAUUUUAAGAAUGAAUUUAAUUUUAGUAUGAAGCUCUCACAGUAUAACCAUGCUAUUUCAUUUUGUUGACAUAGAAACAGAGACCGAGAUCCAUUAACCAAGGAACAUUUGUUAAAAGUCCAUAGGCUUCCUGCUAUGGAGACUAUAGAAGAAAGAGAAGAUUUGGACCCUCUUCUCAAAGCUACUGCCUUCCAGUACAGAGCUAAUGGAGAACUAGAUAAGAUGAAAGGAUUGUUCAUCUGCUAAGUGUGGCUUAUAAAGUCAUCUGGUGUACACUUUGAAGAGGUCUAAUCCAGAAGCGCCAUAAUAAUCAUUCUGAACCUGGGUCCCUCAAGUGGUGUUUCGCUUUCAACUUACAACACUUUAAAACUAAAGGUAACAGACCCUCUUGAAAGAAAGCAAGCGAGUUGAACAUAACAGACCCGGUAUUUCUGUAAUUUAAAAAUUGACUGUUCUCGGAGACUUUAAUUCAAGCAGUGGC